Molecule: long non-coding RNA, 140 nt
Organism: Esox lucius (northern pike)
Lineage: Eukaryota; Metazoa; Chordata; Actinopteri; Esociformes; Esocidae
Exons: 3
Source: RefSeq, a predicted model, not a curated record
CUACACCACAACACCCUGUGGAUUGCAGCCCUGGAGGAUGGAGCAAGCACAGUACUCCACGGUACCAGAGAAGUACUACACGGCACAAUGUGGAGGACUGCUACAUAUGUAUUUGGCAAGAUGGCCAAGGUUUGGGGAAG